This is a small nucleolar RNA of Tachyglossus aculeatus (Australian echidna), 142 nucleotides long. The record is from RefSeq and is a predicted model, not a curated record. Lineage: Eukaryota; Metazoa; Chordata; Mammalia; Monotremata; Tachyglossidae.
ACUCUCUCAAGUUGCUCCUGACCUGGAGAGUUUCCAGUACUCUACCAGUGUUGGCUACAAGAGGGAGAGUCAAGCAGAGGCCUGCCCAUUCCAUUCCUAGCUUGGCCAGUGGCUAGUAAGUGGAAGGCAAUCUGCUACAAAU